AAAACAAACAAGUGAUACCACUGAACUUAACCAAAUUAAAGAAACGUAAAUAAGCAGACACUAAUCAAAUAUUUACUCUUUCCAUUCCUCAGCUUCCACAUACAUGGACAUGGAACACCUUCCCUGCAAGGACAGGCUGGGGUGGCUGGGGCUGCUUAGCUUGGAGAAGAGAAGGCUUCAGGAGACCAGGAAGGAGGGCUAUAUAAAAGAAGGGGACAGACUCUUUAGCAGGGUCUGUUGUGAUAGAACAAGAAGAAAUGGUAUCAGUAAUUUCAAACUAAAAGAGGGGAGAUGUAGAUUGGAAAAAAGGGAAAAGUUUUUACAGUAAGGGUGGUGAGGCUCUGGCAAAGGUUGUCCAGAGAGGUGGUGGGUGUCCCGUCCCUGCAGACACUCAAGGUCAGGCUUUGAGGAUCCCUUCCAACUCUGUCCAUGAUUCUGUGAUGCUCACUGUGGCUUGCAAGGUGUUUGUUAUGAGAAGGUUGUGCUGGGCCUGCCUUUUCCUGCAGAGGCCGAAAUGCAGACUUUUCCUGGGCAGCGAGAGGCAGCUGCCAGCUGAGAGGAGGAGGCGGCAGUGCUUGUGGUGGGAAUUGCCGCGUCCCUCAGCAGCUCUGGAACAGAAAGAAGAAGCAGUUCUAAACUAUCUUCUUCAAGAGCAUACAAGGCUUUCCUUUUGCUUCAGAGAAAAGAGCAUGAAUAGCUGUAACUACAGAACUAUGGACCAUGAAUAGCUGUAACUCCUGGAAUUUCAUCAGUGUAAGGAAAAAGGUAAUCAAUUUAUAUAAGCUAGCUGAAUGCAGGAUGUAUUCUAGCUGUAAUCUUGUAAAUUAGUGCCCAGCAACUAUCAGCUGAUGUUCUCCGUAGGAAUUUUUUUUUAUAAAAAGAACAUUCUUUUUUCUCCUUUUUCUGUUUGUG
This 912-nucleotide long non-coding RNA is filed under the name Phasianus colchicus (ring-necked pheasant). Its description in RNAcentral is "lncRNA (ENSPCLG00000008817.1)". Lineage: Eukaryota; Metazoa; Chordata; Aves; Galliformes; Phasianidae. The record is from RNAcentral.